Molecule: long non-coding RNA, 3755 nt
Organism: Chroicocephalus ridibundus (black-headed gull)
Lineage: Eukaryota; Metazoa; Chordata; Aves; Charadriiformes; Laridae
Exons: 4
Source: RefSeq, a predicted model, not a curated record
GGGCGAACUUAUCUCUUUUCUUGUUUUAUUUUUAUUUUCUUUUAUUUAUUUUUAAUGACUUCUGAGAUGGGACUGACGGCACCGCGCAGCUUAGCACCCGUUUCAGAGCAUAACAAAAAUCUCAGCAUUUGAAUCUGCCAUGAAACAGCCAUUUUCUGCAAGAUGGAAAUUUCUGUGGGUUGGUCUCAUGCAGGAAACGAAAUGCAGUUACUGAACAAAGAGAAUUAAAAUGACGCAGAACUAUAUUCAAGACAACAUUAUUCCCAUCCCACUGGGAUUUGGGACCAGAGGCACGUAAGAGGAGUCAGCCCUGAUUGCACGCUGCGACACACAGGCUUGCAGAAUACUCUCUCGCAAAAUCAGUACUGCAAUCUGUGGAUGCACCUGAGGCCAGCCUCCACGUCAAAACAUGGCAAGAAACGGUUAAUCUGGUUUAGUUAUCAGCAUAGGUUCAUCUCUCAGGGAGUUGUACUUAUUUAAUCUCAGGAAUAAGACAAUCUUGACAAAAUGAAAGGUUCUCUAAGUUCUAAACCCACCAAUUUCUGGCAUUUUAAAGAAACUGAAAACAGAAUUUAAGGAACAGAGGGAAAAAUCAUAUUUGUGUUCAAUUUAACAGCGAAAAACAAUCAUCCUGCUCAGCCCUUAAAAUUUACUCUUUCUUUCUCUCAUCUUUUUUCUUUCUGAGAAUCACAGAAGAGAAGAGAAUCAGAGAAGAGACCAGUAUUACUCAAAUGGCACAACAGAGUUUAUUGGUUUGUCCCGGGCCUCGACACCAGCCCUGCUGCCAGCUGCCACACGCAAAGCAGAGACAACACUGUUGUCUCCUCAGCACUGGAUGCAGGAUUUUUUUCCACUUGUUGAAAUGAUAUCAAGGCGUCAGUAUCAGCAGACAGAUUUCAUUCACACACAUUGAAGAGGGGCAGUUUUGCAGAAAUGUACCAUUGAAAACACCCUAAGGCACCAAAUGUGAAGUUUCUGAAGAGGAUGGGUUUCUGUGCAAGCCGCCAAGCCAGGGAAACACUAACACUACAUGUUCAGAACCUCCCUGCCUACUGUCGCUCCCUCUGGGGAGUUUACAGUGUGAAAUCUCCCUCCUAGCUCCAUCUGGUCUUCAGGUCUCCCUUGCUCGUCUUGCAAAUAACUGGCAGACUGGAGUUCAAGCAAAUGCUUCAAACAACAUUCAUUGACACCUAAGAACCAACGGAAGCGAAUCGAACUGUUUGACUCAUCUGACUUAUCAGCUUGGUACGGUUUUCCACAGGACUGCAGUAUAGACUCCCCCUCCCCACACGUACCACUUAACUCCUUUUGGUAAACUGAGAAAGCUCCACCUUGAAGGUCAUGUUCAUUCCACGGUAUCCUUGUUCAGACAAGUUCUCUUGAGGUCCCCUCAAAUGGUGAACUUGACAUUUCUCUGCUCAUUGAUGUACACCAGCCCUUCUCUGGAGCUUGCUGCAGGCUGAGUCCACCUGUCCUGAAACGUGCCCUGGUAGCAUACGCCACGUCCUUGAUGCCUCACUGGGUGCUUGUACAACCGGGCUAAUACUUUCUUUUCCAUCACACACUUUCCUCCCUCUUAGAGUUACUUUGCGCAACCCUUCCUAACACAGAGGCGUUGUCAGGAGGUGGCUGUGUGGCUCCUUGGCUGUGUUCCAGUGACUUCUGUCUCACAAAUGGAUGCUCAAGGGAGUUCAUGGGAGCGAUGACAAGGUUCAGCCUCUGCUGAAGCUUGGCUUUGCUGCAGCUAUAGCAUUUCACAGAUACUUAAUGCAUAGUAGUUUGCGGCUACAGGAUAAGCUAUACACUAUUUACAAGCAAGUCUACCUAAAAUAACAGUAGUUAAGAUGCACCGGAUAAAAUCUUGAAUCUUCAUGACAACUUUUGUACUAAUUUGCAAGGGCAGCCCUGCAAAUUGUGUUGGUGCUAGUAUCCCUCGUGUGCUGCCUUUAAAUAUGGAGUACUCUGUUGGUCUUCACUCUAAGGACUGUAAUUAUGGGUUGCUAGCAAAGUGAUUUCAGAGGUAUUGGGAGGGGAUGAAGGACGAUGGCAGUAAUGUUAUUAAGUCAGCCCAGCAUCUCUACAACACAUUGGAAGGGAAUGCAUGUCCUGGAUCAUUUUUACAAUGUAGCUUUGCCUUGAGACAAUUUUUGAGAAGACAUUCUUCAAAAGAAUACAGAAUAAUGACAAUUCAGAUGUGACAAAAGUAAGACGGCGUCCAUGCUCUCACAGUCUUCACGAUUUUCAGCACUCUCUUGCUGAUGCUGUGAAGGCAAGCGAGCCUAAGCAGAACAGAACCUCAGCAUGGGCUGUCAGCCCAGUCACCAUCCCCCGAGGAAAACGUGGCAAGGCAAAAUGAUGUCACAGUCUUGAUGCGUUGGCUGAAAUGCGGACUAAAGAUUGCAGCAUUUGCUUGUUUUUUGUUUAAAACACAGAAAUGAAGCAAAUAAAAAGCAGUAGGUAUACUUGCUGGAUAUAGUCGAUCUCCAACAUUGCUGCAGAAUAAGUUAGUUGCAUUGCUAGGGCAGCUAAUGCAAAGUUACCUUUUUGCCCCUUGGUCUCUACCAAUGAAAUCAACGAUGAUCCAGUGCCAGGUGCCUAGAUCACGCGCACAGCCAACAAAAUUAUGUGGCAUCUUCCACAGAUGAAGGCUGUUGUCAUAGAAGAAAGUCACUAAAGAUGGAUAACAUGAAGAGGAGGAAAUAAAUACUGUGAUUCCUGCCAGUUGAGAGUCCCCCAGGUAAGCCACAUAUUUCCCAAUUUGACUGCCAGCAAGCAGACUGUACAUGCAUUUUGUACCAGAUGGAAACUCACCACUAGCCACACCUGAUUAUUUCUAAGCAUAGACACUGACAGCUCAUCAUCUGAUAACUGUUGGUUCACCAUGCCUCAUUGACCUGGAGACUUCAAACCCAGGGACGUUUCAACAAAAGCUGACUAAUAACAACAUAACAUACCUGCACUUUUUCAAAAGCACCAGGAUCACAUUCCUCUAUUGAAAAGUUAUGAUAGAUUGACGCAAACAGUGCACUGCCUGACCCUCGUCCAACACAAACAAAUAGUUUGACUUUGUACUGCAAUCACUCUCUACUUGUGUAAGAGCAAAAGCUGGCUGGAAGUCCUUAAGUGUCCAGAAACUCAACCAAUCACAGUCUCCUUGAAUGUCAGGAUAGUAAGAAAUACUUUGCAUUAAUCUACUGUCCUAUUUUUCUGGACUAUUGAGCUCUGCCAAAAUCCCCAGGAGUUUAUACAGUUCAUUAUACUAAAGGAAAAGAAUAGCACAGGUAGAUUAAAGUCAGUGGAGCUAUGGAAAAAGUGUUAAAAUGACAAACUGGUGCACUACUUUAAUAUAUCUAUCCAGAAGGACACCUGAGCAUAUUUUCAACUUCAGCACGUGGCUAGUCCCAGUGACUACUGCAGCCUUAAUCUGUGCAUGUGCCUACAAGUUUUGGUGACCUCUCAUGGAUUAGGAUCUACUCAGACACACGUAGGAGUGCUGACUGCUGCACUGUGCUGCAGUUUGCCAGUCUCACUACUCUAAAAGUCUGGUCUGAAUUAAGCUUCUAAAUGGCGAUAUUCCAUUCCCAUCAUAAUACAUCACCCUUUCCAACAUGCAUCAUGGAAACAGGGCACUGCUUCUUUAAAUGUAGUGGAUGCAAAACUAUUUGAUCCUAUCAAUGAGACCAAUUUGAGUAGAAGCUAAAAGUCUAUAAGGAACAAUGUUUUGCCUGGUUUAAGAUUCAUGCAUGAACAAACCC